GACGAGGCGGACGGGGCGAGAGAGCGAGAGGGAAAGAGAAGAGGCAGGCCCGGGACCGAUAGGAGGGAGGUCUCCCUAAGAGCUAUUUGUACGUGUGUUUUAUCUCCAUUAUGCAUUGAAGUUCUACAUCAUUGCCUGAUUGUGGUAAUGAGGUGACCCAGAGUUCUUCACACUAAGCCAGCAGAGAAUAAGUUCUGGUGGACAAUUUGAAAAUAAGGACGUUCUAUAUUAAAGACAGUGUCACAUAGUGGAUCAACAGCUGACAUUGCAGUCAGGAAGACCUGGAUUCAGAUCAUGCCUCUGACUCAAAGUUGCUAUGUGACCCUGGGUAUACCUAGGAAGAGUUUAGCAGCCAAACCACAAGCCCAAACUGAGACAAACACCUGUGAACACUGGAACAUACUCUGAUCAGAUUUCAGAAGGAGACGCAAUACAAAGAGGGCAGAAGCAGCACUGCUAGGCUGCUCAGUCUUUCCUGCUCUUUUCCCACUCUGAAGAUCUAUUCCCACGUUCUUCCUCCUGCCACUGGUCUUUUGACUCACGUUUCAACAUUCUACUCUUUUCACUGAUGUCAAGACUCCUCUUGCUUCUCACCAAGAUAAGUCUCAAGCAUAUACCUCAGUGUACACCAGUAAUUUGCCCCAAAUGCCCUUUAAAUUACAAGCAAUGGCACACCUUCCUCAGUGCUGUUCUAAAGGGUAGAACUGUGGUAAUGUAUUCAUGUUACCCAAAUGAUCCAAACCUCAGCACCUGGGUUUCUUCUCUUCCCAGGCCUGCAGCAUGCUAGUUUUCUGACAGCAGAGUGAUGAGAUUAUAGAAAGCUUUGAAAACCAGACAGGAAUUUGGACUCACCAUGGAUAAGAAAGAGCCUUAAUGGAUUAUUAAGCAAGAAAAUGACAGAUUGAUCUCCUUGGUAUUUCCAGUAUCUAAAUAGGAUGUGAUCUCCCAGCUGGAGCAAGGGGAUGAACCAAGGGUCCUGGAUACACAAGCAGCAGAGGGGAAAGACAUCCUAAGCCAUGACUAUUCAGAUAUGUUGAGCAAGCAGACUUCAGAAAAACCUGGAAAGACUUGUAU
Phascolarctos cinereus (koala) is the source of this 1074-nucleotide non-coding RNA. Lineage: Eukaryota; Metazoa; Chordata; Mammalia; Diprotodontia; Phascolarctidae. The record is from RefSeq and is a predicted model, not a curated record.